Molecule: small nucleolar RNA, 219 nt
Organism: Elgaria multicarinata webbii
Lineage: Eukaryota; Metazoa; Chordata; Lepidosauria; Squamata; Anguidae
Product: small nucleolar RNA U3
Exons: 1
Source: RefSeq, a predicted model, not a curated record
AAGACUAUACUUUCAGGGAUCAUUUCUAUAGUAUCAAACUAGAGAAGUGCACUCGAAAGUGGUCGGUUGAGCAAGCCACGAGGAGGAGUCAAAGUGUUCUCUUCUGAGCGCGAAGCGAGUGGGCAGUGCUGCAUUUCUGUGGCUGCUGCCUGCUAUUGAUGACCGUUCUGGCUUCCUUAUGUUAAGGAGGUUGGAGGGAGAGAACACAGACUGAGUGGU